AUGCACGCUGGCGGCGUGUCUAAUACAUGCAAGUCGAGCGAACAGACGAGGAGCUUGCUCCUCUGACGUUAGCGGCGGACGGGUGAGUAACACGUGGAUAACCUACCUAUAAGACUGGGAUAACUUCGGGAAACCGGAGCUAAUACCGGAUAAUAUAUUGAACCGCAUGGUUCAAUAGUGAAAGACGGUUUUGCUGUCACUUAUAGAUGGAUCCGCGCCGCAUUAGCUAGUUGGUAAGGUAACGGCUUACCAAGGCAACGAUGCGUAGCCGACCUGAGAGGGUGAUCGGCCACACUGGAACUGAGACACGGUCCAGACUCCUACGGGAGGCAGCAGUAGGGAAUCUUCCGCAAUGGGCGAAAGCCUGACGGAGCAACGCCGCGUGAGUGAUGAAGGUCUUCGGAUCGUAAAACUCUGUUAUUAGGGAAGAACAAAUGUGUAAGUAACUAUGCACGUCUUGACGGUACCUAAUCAGAAAGCCACGGCUAACUACGUG
Molecule: ribosomal RNA, 496 nt
Filed under: uncultured bacterium
Lineage: Bacteria
Description: partial 16S ribosomal RNA
Rfam family: Bacterial small subunit ribosomal RNA
Source: RNAcentral